This 663-nucleotide ribosomal RNA is filed under the name uncultured bacterium. Its description in RNAcentral is "bacterial SSU rRNA". It matches the Rfam family "Bacterial small subunit ribosomal RNA", at positions 159 to 809 of the family's 1533-position model. The record is from RNAcentral.
GAUGCUAAUACCGGAUAACAACACUAGACGCAUGUCUAGAGUUUGAAAGAUGGUUCUGCUAUCACUCUUGGAUGGACCUGCGGUGCAUUAGCUAGUUGGUAAGGUAACGGCUUACCAAGGCAAUGAUGCAUAGCCGAGUUGAGAGACUGAUCGGCCACAUUGGGACUGAGACACGGCCCAAACUCCUACGGGAGGCAGCAGUAGGGAAUCUUCCACAAUGGACGAAAGUCUGAUGGAGCAACGCCGCGUGAGUGAAGAAGGGUUUCGGCUCGUAAAGCUCUGUUGGUAGUGAAGAAAGAUAGAGGUAGUAACUGGCCUUUAUUUGACGGUAAUUACUUAGAAAGUCACGGCUAACUACGUGCCGGCAGCCGCGGUAAUACGUAGGUGGCAAGCGUUGUCCGGAUUUAUUGGGCGUAAAGCGAGUGCAGGCGGUUCAAUAAGUCUGAUGUGAAAGCCUUCGGCUCAACCGGAGAAUUGCAUCAGAGACUGUUGAACUUGAGUGCAGAAGAGGAGAGUGGAACUCCAUGUGUAGCGGUGGAAUGCGUAGAUAUAUGGAAGAACACCAGUGGCGAAGGCGGCUCUCUGGUCUGCAACUGACGCUGAGGCUCGAAAGCAUGGGUAGCGAACAGGAUUAGAUACCCUGGUAGUCCAUGCCGUAAACGA